Molecule: long non-coding RNA, 4600 nt
Filed under: Homo sapiens (human)
Lineage: Eukaryota; Metazoa; Chordata; Mammalia; Primates; Hominidae
Description: non-protein coding lnc-AGPAT5-1:11
Source: RNAcentral
GUUUCCGGCCCGGGGCCCGACUGCGGGUGGCAUUUCUGGCUAAGCCGUUAGGCGCGAAUUGUAUGUCUGGUUUAUUCGUAGUGGCCAGCAGGGGAGGGAGGGAGGAUGCUUGGGGUUUCUGGCUUCCAGGGUGGGUGGGGACGAGGUGGUGGAGUCCAGCUCAGGUCCGGGCUCCUGAUAAGGGCAGAAGCGGGUUCUGCGCUGCCCCCAACCCUGUAACCGCCAGGAAAGCGCUUGGUGAGCGUCGGGACUGCGCAGGUUCCUCGGGAGGUGGCUAAACUGGCCACCGCCUCUGGGGCCGCCUAAAGCAAGUCCGUUAACCACUAGUCAGGGAGGAAUACUGUGUUUGAGUAAAUAUAUGUAGAGUUGGGUUAGAAUCAUUGAUUGGGUCUUUUUGAAAUCUUACAGUUCUGUGUCCAGAAAACACAGGGCACGUUACCCGGUAUCGUGGUCUACACCUCGCCCACAAAUCCAUCCCAGGCUGUAUCCUCAUGGAAGCUUUUUCCAGAUGUGCUUGAGGGUUAAGAUCGCAAUGUGCAAGAAGAAAAAGUGCACAUUGGAAAACCUUCUCUUCGGAGAUAUCUAUAUCUAUAUUUAUAUAUAUUUACAGAUAUGGAGAUAUAUACACACACGUAUCUGAAAACAUUCUGACGUUUUAAAAACGGAGCACCAGAGGAGGGGGACUUCAUCUGACUUGUUCAGCACUGUCUCCCAGGCCCUGGCACAGAGGGAGCACUCGAUACACACCGAUGGGCUGAAGGUGUGAAUGGAUCUGGGGACUAGAGUGAUGGUUAUUUGGCAGACAGCAUGCCCCGCCUGGGCAGUAGCCGUGAAGACUCUUCUUUUCCUCUCCUCGCCUGCACUCUUUAGGAUUGAACAGCAUUGGUUCAAUGCAUAUUCUGGGAGCACAGAGAAAAAAGGGAUCAAGUUCCACCAUUAUGCAAAAGGGACUCCUGUAAGCCAGGUGAAGAAGGGGCAAGGCCCUUCUUGGUCAGCAGGGAUAAGGCAGUUGUGUAUGGGAGAGCAUGCGAGGAGGGCGAGGGCUGGGGGAGAUGGAGCAGGAACAUUUGGUUGGGGCUCUGAGGCACUCUUCUGCUUGGGGAGUGUGUGGGCAAAGGCAGGGGCUGUGCAGGAAGGAUUUAGCUAAAGCCAUAAAGCUGGAAGAGGGUUUGGGGAACGGCUUUGAAGUUACAUUUGUUUUGCAAGUUCUUUGUUUUUAUUAAUGUUUGCAUGUUAUUUGGGUAGCUGUAGGGAGUAGGUUUUCGGGGAGUUAAAGUGCACUCUCUCACCCCUCCUUCAGUCCUACUACUGCCCCUAGAUACACAAUCACCUCAAGUGACUUUCACGUCACCAGGAAUGGGCAAAGUCUAGAUUUUGGAACAGAAAAUAUUUUAGGUCCCCGUCCCUCUCUGUAACCAAUAACCAAUGCCAUAUAAAUGGAAAAGUAUAAAGAAGUCCAGAAAUUCUUAUUUUCCCCUCAACGACUAGUCAUGCAUGACAUUUUAAAACUAAUACUUCACUGGCAUCAGAGCUCCUGGGCUGUGCUUGAUCAAACAAUUGGGAUCUGGCUCUGAAGCACAUCCUUGAUCCGUACGGAUUUUUGUCAGAGAAUCUUCCGCUUGAAAGGCAGUGUUCGGGGUCUUCCAAGGCACACUGAACUACGUUAAGCCCCUCAUACACACCCAAAGUACGUAAGGCAGAAGGAACCUGGAUACCCUUUGUGGUUGAUGGUGAGGCGGGCCACCACUGUGGCCCUGAAUCCCCCACUGAAUCACACCCUUUGUGAUCUGACUCUGCAGCUCUUUCCAUCUGCAGUGGUGUCUGUUUCCCCAGCUCAGGAAUCUAGUUGGCUUUUUGACUUGUUUUGACCAAUAACAGCAGCAGAAGGGGCCAGUUAUGAAGCUAGGCCUCAGGACACCUUGCGCGUGGCUCUACAAUUCACAUUGCCUUGGCGGCAGCCAGCCUCCAGUGGACCUGGAAGCUAACUGCAGAUGCAGGGGUAAGCCCGGUGGGAAGGGCUGAGUUGUGUGCACCCGAAUUCCUAUGUGGAAGUCCUAACUCCCAGGGCCUCAGAAUGUAACCGUAUUUGGAAAUAGGGUCUGUGCAUAGCUUAUUAAGUUAAAAUGAGGCCUUUAAGGUGGCCCCGAUUCAGUAGGACUGCUGUCCUUAUAAGAAAAGGAAAUUUGGAUACUGACACACACAUGCACCAAGGGACGAACACACAAAGAUACAGGAAGAAGGCGGCCAUCUAGGAACCAAAUCAACCCUGCGGAUAACCGGAUGUCAGACUUCCAGCCUCUGGGACUGAGAGAAGUAACCUGAGGUUACUCUUCACGCACACACAGUAUUCCUUCCUUCUCUGCGUCUAGAUACAUGUCUCUCCCAAAUAAGCAUCGUAAUCGCCAUUCCUAAAUCCAGCACCUGGUCAUUUAUUUAUUUUCAAGAGGUAAUACGGUAGAAUCUUUAGAGCUAAAGUGAGCGUUCUAUUUCGCUCUCCAGGUUUCCUGUGCUCAGGUGAUCUUCAGCCCGUCACAGGCCCUGGCUGCAUUUCUUUCUUCCACUGUAGGAGGAACCAACGGGGAUCUGCUGUAUUGUGCAAGAAAAUAUACAUUGGCCGCCAUUCUGGAAGCACUCAGGGGUUUUCGAAGGCAUUGGCCAUGGCCUGUGGGGAGGGAAGUAUAUUUCAGCUCCUCAGCUGACAAUGGUAUUCCCUAUGAAGCCCGCACUGCGGUCUGUGUCAAUCUGUGCCACGCUGUCGGUGGUUCUUGGCUUGCAGGACAGCCUCAACUCUAAAAAUGCCAGAUUCCAUAGUAUCUGCCCCAAAUGCUGACUCUUAGCUCCCUCUUGCACCCCAGCUUCCAGUCCCUGCUAAAGAGAUAGAAUGGGGUGGAGAUUCCGUAACAGGAAUCUCUGCAACCUUCUAUGAGUGUGAAGACAAGCCAGAGCACAGCCCCUACUUGCCCUGCGCAUAGAAGGGCAGGAGGCACUGGGCAGAAAGAGUGGACAGGACUCCUCGGGGGACUGGGACCCCAUAGGCCACUGAGAUACAUCCACGGCCUCAGGAGGCCGGCAUGGUGGGCCGGCUUGGCGGGAGAGGAGGCAGAGAAUACAGAAAACAGAAGCCGGAAAGCAACAGCAACAGAAACACCGCCACUACCUCCAAUGUCUGUGAUGCUUUAAGAGGCUCUUCCUGAACCUAGCCUCAGGUGUCAUCAAUGAAACCCUCUGUGCCACGUGGGGUUUUUAUUCCUGUUUUACAGAGACAGGGUUGAAUUUGAGGACAACUCAGUUACUCGCAGGAAGGCCCACUGCGAGUGAGUGUCAGAGCUGGGAACCACACACUGUACUUUGGCUCCCAGGCCGAGCCCUCUUCUGUAUCCUGCACUUUCUCGCAGGCUGAGCCCUCUUCUGUAUCCUGCACUUUCUCGCAGGCUGAGCCCUCUUCUGUAUACUGCACUUUCUUCCAGGCCGAGAAAUGAAUCAGGUGGGAAAUGAGCCCUGGGGACAGGUGCCUCCUAUGAGGCAGUUAUCUGCAAGGCCUAUUUCUAGCGCUAACCAUAUCUGCUGUCCUAAAAGCCUGGCUCAUUCCUUUCACUGUCUCCCUGGUAAGUCGGUUCUUGUUCCAGGGAAGCAACCCUCAGUCUAAAGAGAUCCUGGAGGAUGUCUCAACCCUGAGCCGUUGUCAAAACACAGCUUAAUCCCCAUUCCCUGGGCCCGAGACCCUGCAGCCCCCACGCUGCCCGGCUUCCGGUCUUACCUGGGGCAACCUGACCAACAAGAACGCGGAAGGCCAGGAGCCAAAAACAGAGACUCCUGAUGGGUAACAGAAGGAAAAGACUUGGAGGCUGCCAUUUCUCCAAGUAGUCCUGGAGAUUCUCAAAUGCUAAAGUUAACCAACACAGUGCCCUAAGACCAGAAAGGAGAAAAAAUGGAAGUUCUGGGUCCUGCCAAAGGACUAUUUCACUGAGCAGACUGCUGAGACCUCUGAAUUAUGUGGACACUUGAGAAUCAGUCAUGUGUUGGGGCCGGCGUCGUGGCUCAUGCCUGUAAUCCCAGCACUUUGGCAUUUUGGGAGGCCAAGGCGGGUGGAUCACCUGUGGUCAGGAGUUCGAGACCAGCCUGGUCAACAUGGUGAAACCCUGUCUUUACUAAAAACAAAAACAAACCCCAAAAAUUAGCCAGGUAUGGUGGCCGGCACCUGUAAUCCGAGCUAGUCGGGAGGCUGAGGCAGGAGAACUGCUUGGGCUUGGGAGGCAGAGGUUGCAGUGAGCCGAGAUUGUGCCACUGCACUUCAGCCUGGGCGACAAGAGUGAAACACCAGCUCAAAAAAAAAAAAAAAAAAAAAAAACCAAAAAAAAAAAAACCAAAAUCAGUCACCUGUUGGUUUGUGGAUCAAACAAAGUGGAGGUGACAUCACUGAAGCCUAGGACAUCACUCCCCUUUUCCAGGCAGGCUUUGUGGUUCGACCUGUCUCACGUUCCAACCCAUGCACCCUAACCCCCUACUUCUUUACCUCUUCCAAUUGAGACACAAGAUUCAUUUUGGCCCAAAGGAGGUAUACUUCAAAAGCAAUUUUCCUUUAUUAAAAGAAUGCUUAUAA